This 483-nucleotide ribosomal RNA is filed under the name uncultured bacterium. Its description in RNAcentral is "partial 16S ribosomal RNA". It matches the Rfam family "Bacterial small subunit ribosomal RNA", at positions 28 to 523 of the family's 1533-position model. The record is from RNAcentral.
GAUGAACGCUGGCGGCGUGCCUAAUACAUGCAAGUCGAGCGAACCACUUCGGUGGUGAGCGGCGAACGGGUGAGUAACACGUAGGUGAUCUGCCCAUCAGACGGGGACAACGAUUGGAAACGAUCGCUAAUACCGGAUAGGACGAAAGUUUAAAGGUGCUUCUGGCACCGCUGAUGGAUGAGCCUGCGGCGCAUUAGCUAGUUGGUAGGGUAAAGGCCUACCAAGGCGACGAUGCGUAGCCGACCUGAGAGGGUGAACGGCCACACUGGGACUGAGACACGGCCCAGACUCCUACGGGAGGCAGCAGUAGGGAAUCUUCGGCAAUGGGCGAAAGCCUGACCGAGCAACGCCGCGUGAAUGAUGAAGGCCUUCGGGUUGUAAAAUUCUUUUAUAAGGGAAGAACGACUUUAGUAGGAAAUGGCUAAAGUGUGACGGUACCUUAUGAGAAAGCCACGGCUAACUACGUGCCAGCAGCCGCCGUAA